RNAcentral lists this long non-coding RNA (382 nucleotides) under Malus domestica (apple). RNAcentral describes it as "long non-coding RNA (MDOM_LNC013485)". Lineage: Eukaryota; Viridiplantae; Streptophyta; Magnoliopsida; Rosales; Rosaceae. The record is from RNAcentral.
CAUGCACCAAUUGAUGCUCCAUCAUUCACAUUUGGAAUCCCAUGCCUUGUGUACCACAUGUUGUUGCACCUUUGACCCAUUUAUUGACACAUUUUCACCUCCCUUUCCAUCUCUAUGCAAUGUACACAAUCAUUCAUGCUCCCUAGCUUCAAGACCACUCCAUUUUACCCUUCACACUUUGCAUCAUCACUUCAUUUUCACCCUUGGACAAUUGCACACCACACACACAAAUUACCAUGCAUUUCAUCCUUAACCUAACCUGAUUUUCUAAGGUUUUUGGGGCCUAUAAAUACAUGUUUACACCCCUUGGCCAAAGGAAAAUCCCCCAUAUUCAUCAUUUUAUAACAGAAAUUCGUCCAUACACACCCUAGGAAGCAAAACA